CUACGGGAUGCAGCAGUGGGGAAUAUUGCACAAUGGAGGAAACUCUGAUGCAGCAACGCCGCGUGGAGGAUGACACUUUUCGGAGCGUAAACUCCUUUUAUAUAGGAAGAAGAUGACGGUACUAUAUGAAUAAGCGCCGGCUAACUCCGUGCCAGCAGCCGCGGUAAUACGGAGGGCGCAAGCGUUACUCGGAAUCACUGGGCGGAAAGAGCGUGUAGGCGGAUUAAAAAGUCAGAAGUGAAAUCCUAUAGCUUAACUAUAGAACUGCUUCUGAAACUCUUAAUCUAGAAUAUGGGAGAAGUAGAUGGAAGUUCUGGUGUAGGGGUAAAAUCCGUAGAGAUCAGAAGGAAUACCGAUUGCGAAGGCGAUCUACUAGAACAUUAUUGACGCUGAGACGCGAAAGCGUGGGGAGCAAACAGGAUUAGAUACCCCGGUAGUC
Molecule: ribosomal RNA, 439 nt
Filed under: uncultured bacterium
Lineage: Bacteria
Description: partial 16S ribosomal RNA
Rfam family: Bacterial small subunit ribosomal RNA
Source: RNAcentral